CAGACUCCUACGGGAGGCAGCAGUGGGGAAUAUUGCACAAUGGACGAAAGUCUGAUGCAGCAACGCCGCGUGGAGGAUGACACAUUUCGGUGCGUAAACUCCUUUUAUAUGGGAAGAUAAUGACGGUACCAUAUGAAUAAGCACCGGCUAACUCCGUGCCAGCAGCCGCGGUAAUACGGAGGGUGCAAGCGUUACUCGGAAUCACUGGGCGUAAAGAGCGUGUAGGCGGAUAUAUAAGUGGCGAAGUGAAAUCCAAUAGCUUAACUAUUGAACUGCUUUUAAACUGUAUAUCUAGAAUGUGGGAGAGGUAGAUGGAAUUUCUGGUGUAGGGGUAAAAUCCGUAGAGAUCAGAAGGAAUACCGAUUGCGAAGGCGAUCUACUGGAACAUUAUUGACGCUGAGACGCGAAAGCGUGGGGAGC
Molecule: ribosomal RNA, 420 nt
Filed under: uncultured bacterium
Lineage: Bacteria
Description: bacterial SSU rRNA
Rfam family: Bacterial small subunit ribosomal RNA
Source: RNAcentral